CCUACGGGUGGCAGCAGUAGGGAAUAUUGCUCAAUGGGGGAAACCCUGAAGCAGCAACGCCGCGUGAAGGAUGAAGGGUUUCGGAUUGUAAACUCCUUUUGAUAGAGAAGAUAAUGACGGUAGUUAACGAAUAAGCACCGGCUAACUCCGUGCCAGCAGCCGCGGUAAUACGGAGGAGGCAAGCGUUAUCCGGAAUGACUGGUCGUAAAGGGUGGGUAGGGGGUUUGAUUAGUUAGUAGCGAAACUCCGGAGCUCAACUUCGGAACUACUACUAAAACUAUUGAACUUGAGUGCAGGAGGGGCAAUCGGAAUUCCUAGUGUAGCGGUGGAAUGCGUAGAUAUUAGGAAGAACACCAGUGGCGAAGGCGGAUUGCUAGACUGUAACUGACACUGAGGCACGAAAGCGUGGGGAGCAAACAGGAUUAGAUACCCUUGUAGUC
Molecule: ribosomal RNA, 440 nt
Filed under: uncultured bacterium
Lineage: Bacteria
Description: partial 16S ribosomal RNA
Rfam family: Bacterial small subunit ribosomal RNA
Source: RNAcentral